UACGAAGGGGGCUAGCGUUGCUCGGAAUUACUGGGCGUAAAGCGCACGUAGGCGGACUCUUAAGUCGGGGGUGAAAGCCCAGGGCUCAACCCUGGAACUGCCUUCGAUACUGGGAGUCUCGAGUCCGGGAGAGGUGAGUGGAAUUCCUAGUGUAGAGGUGAAAUUCGUAGAUAUUAGGAAGAACACCAGUGGCGAAGGCGGCUCACUGGCCCGGUACUGACGCUGAGGCGCGAAAGCGUGGGGAGCAAACAGG
RNAcentral lists this ribosomal RNA (253 nucleotides) under uncultured bacterium. Its description in RNAcentral is "partial 16S ribosomal RNA". It matches the Rfam family "Bacterial small subunit ribosomal RNA", at positions 524 to 776 of the family's 1533-position model. The record is from RNAcentral.